UACGUAGGGUGCGAGCGUUGUCCGGAAUUACUGGGCGUAAAGAGCUCGUAGGCGGCUUGUCGCGUUGUUCGUGAAAAUUUACCGCUCAACGGUGAACUUGCGGGCGAUACGGGCAGGCUAGAGUACUGCAGGGGAGACUGGAAUUCCUGGUGUAGCGGUGAAAUGCGCAGAUAUCAGGAAGAACACCGGUGGCGAAGGCGGGUCUCUGGGCAGUAACUGACGCUGAGGAGCGAGAGCGUGGGGAGCGAACAGG
Molecule: ribosomal RNA, 253 nt
Filed under: uncultured bacterium
Lineage: Bacteria
Description: partial 16S ribosomal RNA
Rfam family: Bacterial small subunit ribosomal RNA
Source: RNAcentral